RNAcentral lists this long non-coding RNA (1161 nucleotides) under Heterocephalus glaber (naked mole-rat). RNAcentral describes it as "lncRNA (ENSHGLG00000040076.1)". The record is from RNAcentral. Lineage: Eukaryota; Metazoa; Chordata; Mammalia; Rodentia; Bathyergidae.
UCAGCCGCAGGGGAAAAAAGCUCUGAAUCUACAACACACCCUUUCCCUAGCUGCUCCUGUCAGCACCCUCUCAAAGUGAGGAAAAGAAACCUGUUUUCCUUAUGACAAAGACUGAUUUGAUGAUAAACCUUCUCGGCUUCCCAGGAGGUGGCAGUGACUCUGAUCGGUGAGGAGGAGGCCGAAGGAGUAGACAGUCUGCACCUCCCACUCCAGGGGAAUCUAAUCCACUCAGGCCAAGGGAGGAAAGAGGAGGCGGCCCGAGGCCACACUGUCCAAGGGGGUCGCCAUCCGACUCUGAAGCCUGGAGACCCUGGAGCCCCAGAGUGAGUCUUCCCGAGGCCGUGACCAGAGGAUGUCAGCAUGUGCGUGGAGGGCUGGAACCGCGCCUUCUUCAGCAUGGAUCAGAGACCGGCCAAGAGCUCUGGCAGCAGAGUCAGCUAGAGGCCAGCUGUGCUCCGGACAGGAUCAGAAGCUGGCUGUCUGUGCUUCCUUCCUUUUGCUCCUCCUCUUCAUCAGAUCCUUCUUUGUCCCUGAAAGCCAGGCCGAUGCCCAGCAGUGCACAUUCUCUUGCCCCUCCGUUCCUCUGAGGUGGCCGCAGUCUGAAGCCCCUCUGGGCCCCCUUGUGCCUGAACUGAGACACACAAGUAGAAAAGGACUCCGCAGACGGCUGCACCCGUGGUGCAAGAGGAGGCCCCGAGGCUGUUUGCUCCAGCACCUGAGCCUGGAAGGGAACACAGAAGGUGGCAGGGACAGCAGAGGGGAGAUACCUGUGUGCAGGUCCACUGGGCGUCGGGAAGGGCAGCACGGGCUGGACUGGGCUGAGGCUGGGGGGGGGCCCCGGCUGUUUUGCCACCGGGUCGGGUCAGUCGGGGUGGGAGGACGAGUGGAAUGUAAACAGGCAUCUUUCCUCCGUCUUUCCCCGUGGUCCCGGCCACGCUGCGGAGACCGAGGGAGGAGACUCUGAGGCUGCCGGAGCCCGGAGACCGUGAAGCGGCUGGCCGCGGCAGAGGCGACCUUGAGACAGAGGAGAACCAGAGUGGAGCGGGAGUCUGUGGGGAAGAGGGAGGGGCGGGAGGAAGGAGGGUGCAGGGAGGGGCCUCUUGUCUGUCUGUCUGUCUGUCUACCUCCCUCCGUGCCCGGAGCGAGAAGGACAGACUCGGG